This 252-nucleotide ribosomal RNA is filed under the name uncultured bacterium. RNAcentral's name for it is "partial 16S ribosomal RNA". It matches the Rfam family "Bacterial small subunit ribosomal RNA", at positions 524 to 776 of the family's 1533-position model. The record is from RNAcentral.
UACGUAGGUCCCGAGCGUUGUCCGGAUUUAUUGGGCGUAAAGCGAGCGCAGGUGGUUUAUUAAGUCUGGUGUAAAAGGCAGUGGCUCAACCAUUGUAUGCAUUGGAAACUGGUAGACUUGAGUGCAGGAGAGGAGAGUGGAAUUCCAUGUGUAGCGGUGAAAUGCGUAGAUAUAUGGAGGAACACCGGUGGCGAAAGCGGCUCUCUGGCCUGUAACUGACACUGAGGCUCGAAAGCUGGGGGAGCGAACAGG